This 433-nucleotide ribosomal RNA is filed under the name uncultured bacterium. RNAcentral describes it as "partial 16S ribosomal RNA". It matches the Rfam family "Bacterial small subunit ribosomal RNA", at positions 29 to 507 of the family's 1533-position model. The record is from RNAcentral.
AACGAACGCUGGCGGCAUGCCUAACACAUGCAAGUCGAACGAGACCUUCGGGUCUAGUGGCGCACGAGUGCGUCACGCGUGGGAACCUGCCCUUAUGUUCGGCAUAACUCUACGAAAGGGGUGCUAACACCGGAUCAUGUCUACGGACCAAAGAUUUAUUGCCUUUGGAUGUGCCCGCGUUGGAUUCGCUAGUUGGUAGGGUAAAAGCCUACCAAGGCGUCCAUCCAUAGCUGGUCAGAGAGACUGAUCAGCCACACUGGGACUGAGAAACGGCCCAGAAUCCUACGGGAGGCAGCAGUGGGGGAUGGUGCACAGUGGGCGAAAGGCUGAUCGAGUAAUGACGCGUGAGUGAUGAAGGCAUUAGAGUUGUAAAGCUCUUGUACCCGGGAUGAUAAUGACGGUACCGGGAGAAUAAGCUCCGGCUAACUCCGUG